GAUGAACGCUGGCGGCGUGCCUAAUACAUGCAAGUCGAGCGAACAGACGAGGAGCUUGCUCCUCUGACGUUAGCGGCGGACGGGUGAGUAACACGUGGAUAACCUACCUAUAAGACUGGGAUAACUUCGGGAAACCUGAGCUAAUACCGGAUAAUAUAUUGAACCGCAUGGUUCAAUAGUGAAAGACGGUUUUGCUGUCACUUAUAGAUGGAUCCGCGCCGCAUUAGCUAGUUGGUAAGGUAACGGCGUACCAAGGCAACGAUGCGUAGCCGACCUGAGAGGGUGAUCGGCCACACUGGAACUGAGACACGGUCCAGACUCCUACGGGAGGCAGCAGUAGGGAAUCUUCCGCAAUGGGCGAAAGCCUGACGGAGCCACGCCGCGUGAGUGAUGAAGGUCUUCGGAUCGUAAAACUCUGUUAUUAGGGAAGAACAAAUGUGUAAGUAACUAUGCACGUCUUGACGGUACCUAAUCAGAAAGCCACGGCUAACUACGUG
Molecule: ribosomal RNA, 497 nt
Filed under: uncultured bacterium
Lineage: Bacteria
Description: partial 16S ribosomal RNA
Rfam family: Bacterial small subunit ribosomal RNA
Source: RNAcentral